Molecule: transfer RNA, 74 nt
Filed under: Rhizobiaceae bacterium
Lineage: Bacteria; Pseudomonadati; Pseudomonadota; Alphaproteobacteria; Hyphomicrobiales; Rhizobiaceae
Description: tRNA-Gln
Rfam family: tRNA
About the family: Transfer RNA (tRNA) molecules are approximately 80 nucleotides in length. Their secondary structure includes four short double-helical elements and three loops (D, anti-codon, and T loops).
Source: RNAcentral
UGGGAAAUAGUUCAACGGUAGAACAGCGGACUCUGACUCCGUCAAUCUUGGUUCGAAUCCAGGUUUCCCAGCCA